This is a long non-coding RNA of Dendronephthya gigantea, 472 nucleotides long. RefSeq lists it as uncharacterized. The record is from RefSeq and is a predicted model, not a curated record. The transcript has 3 exons. NCBI's taxonomy places the organism in Eukaryota, Metazoa, Cnidaria, Anthozoa, Malacalcyonacea, Nephtheidae.
AGAUUUUUCUUGGUCAAGAGUGCAACAUAUGAGCUGUGGAUAUGAACUUUACUGUCAGGUGAACAUUGAAAGUGACAAGAUUUCUGCACAGAGAUUUUUCUUGGUCAAGAGUGCAACAUAUGAGCUGUGGAUAUGAACUUUACUGUCAGGUGAACAUUGGAAGUGACAAGAUUUCUGCACAGAGAAUGAAUGAAGUUUAAGAAAGUUGAAAGGCACCCCUGAAGAACCUGAAUUAUUUUAGCCCUAUCCUAGAUUCAUUAAUUAAUAUAUUUUAGUGUGUGAUAACAUGUGUGAAAUGUGAUCAAUUAUGUGACAAUCUUCAAAACUUGGAUUUAUAAAGAGAAAUUUUUCUUUGUAAAGCUUAAGAAGUAAACUUUUUUGUCUGGUGGUGUUACUGUUUUGAUUUUGCAUGUUUUUCCGUGUGCUUUCACAAUUGAAAAGAUUUUGGCAGUUGCUUCUAAAUGUUUUUUGA